AACGAACGCUGGCGGCAUGCCUAACACAUGCAAGUCGAACGAGACCUUCGGGUCUAGUGGCGCACGGGUGCGUAACGCGUGGGAAUCUACCCUCAGGUUCGGAAUAACUCAGAGAAAUUUGAGCUAAUACCGGAUGAUGACGUAAGUCCAAAGAUUUAUCGCCUGAGGAUGAGCCCGCGUAGGAUUCGGUAGUUGGUGAGGUAAAGGCACACCAAGCCGACGAUCUUUAGCUGGUCUGAGAGGAUGAUCAGCCACACUGGGACUGAGACACGGCCCAGACUCCUACGGGAGGGAGCAGUGGGGAAUAUUGGACAAGGGGCGAAAGCCUGAUCCAGCAAUGCCGCGUAAGUGAUGAAGGCCUUAGGGUUGUAAAGCUCUUUUACCCGGGAUGAUAAUGACGGUACCGGGAGAAUAAGCGCCGGCUAACUCCGUG
RNAcentral lists this ribosomal RNA (433 nucleotides) under uncultured bacterium. Its description in RNAcentral is "partial 16S ribosomal RNA". It matches the Rfam family "Bacterial small subunit ribosomal RNA", at positions 29 to 507 of the family's 1533-position model. The record is from RNAcentral.